This is a non-coding RNA of Carassius gibelio (silver crucian carp), 2118 nucleotides long. Lineage: Eukaryota; Metazoa; Chordata; Actinopteri; Cypriniformes; Cyprinidae. The record is from the annotation of a RefSeq genome assembly.
CAAAUGAACUGAUGUCUGUUUCAUAUUUAAACAGCUACACUGUGGAGUGUAGGACUCAUCACCAGAUCAGCCUUCAGAUAAACCAUGUUCACUUCAUUUCUCCUGCUGUUGCUGGCUGCUGUGUCUUGUAUUGACUGUCAGGUUGUGCUCACACAGUCUGAACAGUCAGUAGUUGUGUCUCCAGGUGCUUCCUACAAACUGACCUGUGCCUGCAGUGGGUUUACUGUUAGUAGCACUUACAUGAACUGGAUCCGUCAGGCACCUGGAAAAGGACUGGAAUGGAUUAUUUAUUAUUAUUCAGAUUCUAAUAAGAACUCAGCUCAGUCAGUUCAGGGCAGAUUCACAGCAUCUAAGGACAGCUCUAAUCUCUAUCUGCACAUGAGUCAGUUAAAGACUGAAGACACUGCAGUGUAUUACUGUGCAACAGAUUCAGGGUCUAGCUACGGUGCUUUUGACUACUGGGGAAAGGGAACAAAGGUGACCGUAACAUCAGCCGAAUCAUCUGCACCAAAGUCAAUCUUCGCCAUGUCCCAGUGUACUCCUGAUACUUCUGGGUAUGUCACCGUUGGCUGCAUGGCAAGAGGUUUCGCACCUGAGGACUCGCUUACUUUUAAAUGGACGGAUAAUACUCAGAAGGAGCUGAGUGACAUCGUGCAGUAUCCAGCAUUCGGGAGUGGUGGACAAUACACCAAAAUCAGCCAUAUGCGCGUAAAAAGCGAUUUGGAUUCCCAAAAACCAUACAAGUGCGAAGCUUCAAAUUCUAAAGGAAAAAUAGAAACUGAAAUUGCUGUACCAUCCCCACCUCCAGAUCAACGUGCAACCGUGUACUUAACAGUACCUACAAAAACGGAGUUAGAAAAUGAAACAGCAACCUUCACGUGUUUAGCCCGACGGUUUUCGCCUAAAACAUACACGUUUGAGUGGUCUCUGAAUGGUCAGAAGGUGACAAAUGUGAUAGACAAAUAUGAAAAAAGUGAGAAGAAUGGCUUGGUAACCGAAUAUAGUGCCACGAGCAUUUUGCAAAUCAAAGCCGAAGAGUGGAAGAAAUCAGAGAGCAAAGUUAAGUGUAAGUUCGUGCACAAGGCUCGAAAUGAAGAAGUAGAGGCCGAAUAUGCAGCUCAAUUUGCAAUGACACUGAAGCCACCUAUUCAAAGUGAACUAUUUGUAAACAAGAGAGUUGUCUUGGAAGCUGUUGUUUCUGGAGAUGUAGAGAAUGCAGUGAAAGGUGCUGCAGUGUCAUGUGACAUGAAUGCAGCUGUGACACCAGGAGAAGUCAAGUUUUCCAAAGAUAUUUCACAGUUUAUAAAAAAACACAAAGUCACUGUUGAUAAAAAAAAAUGGUUUGAUGGUGAAAAGGUCACCUGCACCAUCUCUGAAAAAAAAAUCAAAGAGGUGAUCCAUUUUAAUAAAGGAGGUGGACAGGAUCCCACUGUUCACAUUUACAGACCUGAUUAUAAUAACAGAAAUCAUUUCUCUCAUGUGUGUGAGGUCACCAGCCCUAAACUCGGUGAUGUCUAUGUAAUGUGGAAAGUGGGUAAUGGUCCUUACAAAGAGGGCACAACCAGUGCUGCCACCCAUCAAAAGGACUCAACGUCUGUUUUCAGCAUCCUAACAAUGACAAAAGAAGAGUAUGAUGAUCCCAAAACCACCAUCACCUGUGCAGUCAUUCAUGCCUACAUAGACAAUGGAAGUUCUCCAUUACAAGUGUCAACAAGCAAAAGUAAACAGGGAGAAGUUUCAUGUGAUUAAUGUGCAAGCGUUCCCAAACUGUCAUUGUUCAUCUGCUGUUUAGUUUUCCAGUGCUUAUGUCAUGUUGCUCUCUCAUCAGAUUAUGUAAAGUAUCUUCAGUGUUUUUUGUGCAUAUUUCUGUCUGUAUGUCUGUAUCACUUUACUGCAUUGUUCAAACAUCAAAGUCAAAUUACACUCAAGACUAAAUGUUUAAUUUGAUAUUUACUUACAUGUUGCAUCUAAGUAAAUAUGGUUACAUAAAAACAUUGUCAGAACGAUAUCAUAGAGCUUCUUUAUGUCUUGUUCUGUGCUUACUGUACUGCUGUUAGUCUAUAAUAUUACAUGUCAUUUUUGUGUUGUUUUACAAGCAAUAAAUAUUUGUUUGCAUGA